Molecule: long non-coding RNA, 1151 nt
Filed under: Mus spicilegus (steppe mouse)
Lineage: Eukaryota; Metazoa; Chordata; Mammalia; Rodentia; Muridae
Description: lncRNA (ENSMSIG00000024748.1)
Source: RNAcentral
GUUACCAGCAUGGCUAUCUUCCAGAUGCCAGGAGGUGUCUGAAACCAGAGCACAGGACAGAACUGUAGCUGGGAAAUGCUUUGGGAUACACAUACUCUUUCAGUGUUCUGUCUUGUUGGCAUUGCCCUUACCAGACAUCCCAUGCUCUGCCCUUCUCAAGGUUGCAGUUGCUCUGCUGUUAGGGCAUUGCUGGACAGUCAUACAUAGAGGACUCACUGCUGAAUCCCUGCACCUUGUCUGGCCAGAUGCUUCCACUUUCUGAAACAUACUCAGCCUCCCCUGGGUGGCUGUGUGUAGUGAUGAGACACCUCCCAGCGGCUCGCACACCAUCGCAGCCUCUUCCAGGUUCCAGCAGUCAUGGCAUACUGUACACCAAGAGGAAGAACUGAUGGAGAGACUCCUGAAUGAGGAAGAGAAGGCUGGAAGUCUGGUUUGUGAGCUCAAGACCAUAGCGUAUCACUGAAGGGACCAAUGUGGCUGUACUGAAGCCAUCUGCACCAUGGUCCAGGCUAGGGCUUCAGAGGACACCGCAGUGGUCACCAGCUGUUUUGAUGCUGCACUGUGGCCUCAUUUUUUAUAAACUAUCACAAAAUAACCAUUUGUGCCCUUCUCACUCGUGUCUGUGAUUGAGAACUCUGCGAUCAUCUAAUGACUUCAGUACAGGCUGAUUAUAUAGAACGGGCCAAGCAGCUCCUUGACAUAUGUGUACUUCCCGCAUCUUAAGUGGGACAGAUACCAGGUCCAGCAUCAGAGCUGAUGUUCUCCCAACCUCACAGUGAAGAGGGUUGAAUAGCCUAGACAUGUUUUAUGAUGAUUACAACAUUGUUUCUCCCACAAUUUUGGCCUUCUUCCCAGUGGCUUUGGAAAAUGGUAACAGGAGGCACAUUUAGGUAUAACUUUCUGGGAAAAGUACUAAGUUAAGAAUACCCGAAAUAGAAAAACUCAGAUACAUUCUUGGAAUAGGGAUAUACAGAAACUGGUUGGAAGCAGAAUGUUUUCAAGCUCCUGAUUUUUAAAAUUUUGGUGGUGGUGGGGAUUAUUAGAUUUCAUUUUACUUCUAAGUGUAAUUAAGCCUUUUAAUGGCUGAGUGACUGGGGCACAGUAUAUCAAAUGUUUUCAUCAGGAUAAUAAAUAUAAACCUCUAGCUCCCA